This 369-nucleotide ribosomal RNA is filed under the name uncultured eukaryote. Its description in RNAcentral is "partial 18S ribosomal RNA". It matches the Rfam family "Eukaryotic small subunit ribosomal RNA", at positions 592 to 975 of the family's 1831-position model. The record is from RNAcentral.
CAAUAGCGUAUAUUAAAGUUGUUGCAGUUAAAAAGCUCGUAGUUGGACCUUGGGCCUGGACGGGCGGUCCGCCUCACGGCGUGUACUGUCUUGCCGGGCCUUUCCUCUUGGUGAUCUGUUGUUUCGGCAGCAGGGAACCAGGACCUUUACUUUGAAAAAAUUAGAGUGUUCAAAGCAGGCUCGACGCCGGAAUAUAUUAGCAUGGAAUAAUAAAAUAGGACGUGCGGUUCUAUUUUGUUGGUUUUUGGAAUCGCCGUAAUGAUUAAUAGGGACAGUCGGGGGCAUUAGUACUCACAUGCUAGAGGUGAAAUUCUUGGAUUUUGUGAAGACUAACUUCUGCGAAAGCAUUUGCCAAGGAUGUUUUCAUUA